GUUCCUGUAGUUGAAUCCAACAGUGGUUCUUCGGACCACAGGUCUUAGUUAAAGUCUGAGUAGGAAUU
RNAcentral lists this transfer RNA (68 nucleotides) under Cabdio morar (aspidoparia). Its description in RNAcentral is "tRNA-Glu". Lineage: Eukaryota; Metazoa; Chordata; Actinopteri; Cypriniformes; Danionidae. The record is from RNAcentral.